UUCUCCAAAAUCAAAAAUGCUAAACCCUAGCUAGUAGAAGACUUGGUUUUUGCUCGAAGACUUGCGUGAAGACUGGCUAGGAAAUCGUUCGACAAGUGCUUUGCAGUGAUUUCUCCGACGACGUGUAUAUUACUUUCGUUCUCAUUUUCUUUCAAUUCCUUGCACGAAACCCCUUCUCAUUUUCCCCCAAUUUGAUAAAUGUCUUGCAGAAUCUUGGUGGGUAGGAGGCUCCAUUAGGUUUGAAUCGUGGUGGGACUAGGGUUUGGUGGUUGGCGGAGGCUUCGUGGUUCGUCGACGUGGGCGUGAGAAGGCGACGAUGCUUAGGAAAGGCUCGCUGGUCUGUUCAGCGAGGUGAAAGUUUGGUGCAGCUCUAAGCUUGGACGAAUAAGCCGUCUCGUCUCUGCAAAUCGAACCAGGUUUUAAAUUAUUUGCGAAACCCCUAUUUGCUAAUAUAUCUUGAUUUCAACUGGUUAUAUUUUCUGGAUGGAUGCUCGUUCUUCUCGUGUGGACUUGAGAAGUGAACAAGUCAUAACGAUGUUGCACUUACCGAGUAGACCUUACAUUUGUUAGUGCCUCCUUUAGCUACUGUCUCACCUUUAUAAUAGAGAAAUUAGUGAAGCACAACCUCUCAUUCAUGCUCAACUCAAAUCUAUCUUUUGCUUGUUCAUAAGAUGAGACAAUUUGGACUUUGUAUUUUUUAGGAAGAU
This 707-nucleotide long non-coding RNA is filed under the name Vigna radiata. RNAcentral's name for it is "long non-coding RNA (VRAD_LNC011798)". The record is from RNAcentral. Lineage: Eukaryota; Viridiplantae; Streptophyta; Magnoliopsida; Fabales; Fabaceae.